GAUGAACGCUGGCGGCGUGCCUAACACAUGCAAGUCGAGCGAUUCUCUUCGGAGAAGAGCGGCGGACGGGUGAGUAACGCGUGGGUAACCUGCCCUGUACACACGGAUAACAUACCGAAAGGUAUGCUAAUACGAGAUGAUAUAUAAAAGUUGCAUGACUUUUAUAUCAAAGCUUUUGCGGUAUAGGAUGGACCCGCGUCUGAUUAGCUAGUUGGUAAGGUAACGGCUUACCAAGGCGACGAUCAGUAGCCGACCUGAGAGGGUGAUCGGCCACACUGGAACUGAGACACGGUCCAGACUCCUACGGGAGGCAGCAGUGGGGAAUAUUGCACAAUGGGCGAAAGCCUGAUGCAGCAACGCCGCGUGAGCGAUGAAGGCCUUCGGGUCGUAAAGCUCUGUCCUCAAGGAAGAUAAUGACGGUACUUGAGGAGGAAGCCCCGGCUAACUACGUGCCAGCAGCCGCGGUAAUACGUAGGGGGCUAGCGUUAUCCGGAAUUACUGGGCGUAAAGGGUGCGUAGGCGGUCUUUCAAGCCAGAAGUGAAAGGCUACGGCUCAACCGUAGUAAGCUUUUGGAACUGUAGGACUUGAGUGCAGGAGAGGAGAGUGGAAUUCCUAGUGUAGCGGUGAAAUGCGUAGAUAUUAGGAGGAACACCAGUAGCGAAGGCGGCUCUCUGGACUGUAACUGACGCUGAGGCACGAAAGCGUGGGGAGCAAACAGGAUUAGAUACCCUGGUAGUCCACGCCGUAAACGAUGAGUACUAGGUGUCGGGGGUUACCCCCCUCGGUGCCGCAGCUAACGCAUUAAGUACUCCGCCUGGGAAGUACGCUCGCAAGAGUGAGACUCAAAGGAAUUGACGGGGACCCGCACAAGUAGCGGAGCAUGUGGUUUAAUUCGAAGCAACGCGAAGAACCUUACCUAAGCUUGACAUCCCAUUGACCUCUCCCUAAUCGGAGAUUUCCCUUCGGGGACAAUGGUGACAGGUGGUGCAUGGUUGUCGUCAGCUCGUGUCGUGAGAUGUUGGGUUAAGUCCCGCAACGAGCGCAACCCUUGCCUUUAGUUGCCAGCAUUAAGUUGGGCACUCUAGAGGGACUGCCGAGGAUAACUCGGAGGAAGGUGGGGAUGACGUCAAAUCAUCAUGCCCCUUAUGCUUAGGGCUACACACGUGCUACAAUGGGUGGUACAGAGGGUUGCCAAACCGUGAGGUGGAGCUAAUCCCUUAAAGCCAUUCUCAGUUCGGAUUGUAGGCUGAAACUCGCCUACAUGAAGCUGGAGUUACUAGUAAUCGCAGAUCAGAAUGCUGCGGUGAAUGCGUUCCCGGGUCU
RNAcentral lists this ribosomal RNA (1324 nucleotides) under uncultured bacterium. RNAcentral describes it as "bacterial SSU rRNA". It matches the Rfam family "Bacterial small subunit ribosomal RNA", at positions 28 to 1381 of the family's 1533-position model. The record is from RNAcentral.